RNAcentral lists this ribosomal RNA (3744 nucleotides) under Triticum aestivum (bread wheat). RNAcentral's name for it is "partial small subunit ribosomal RNA". The record is from RNAcentral. Lineage: Eukaryota; Viridiplantae; Streptophyta; Magnoliopsida; Poales; Poaceae.
GAACCUUCCACCCCCCAAGCCAAGCCAAGCCAAGCCAAGCCAAGUGGCGGCCGCUGCUACGGCUACAAGUCUCUCCUCCAGCGCUGCCGCCGCUGCUGGUGCUAGGCGUGCCUCGUCACGGGUCUAGGCCCCCCGCGCGCCCAUUCCCCCGCCCUUUUGUCACGCGCAAGCCGUGCCCACUUGCGCCACAUCAAGGCUUGCACGGGCGAAAAACCCCAUCCCAUCUCCGGUGCCAGAAGGCGCGGCCCUCUGUUGGUGGGUCCUGCCGCGGCCAUGAGCCACCGGAUGAUGAUGAAUCCGGUGAAGGUGGAGGGCGAUGGGCGGGCCGGCGGCGGAGGCGCGCCGAGGCCGAUGGACGGGCUGGGCGACGCCGGGCCCACGCCGUUCCUCGCCAAGACCUACGACAUGGUGGACGACCCCGCCACCGACGCCGUCGUCUCCUGGAGCGCCACCAACAACAGCUUCGUCGUCUGGGACCCGCACCUCUUCGCCACCGUGCUGCUGCCGAGGUACUUCAAGCACGGCAACUUCUCCAGCUUCGUCCGACAGCUCAACACCUAUGUAAGUAUCAGACCUCUCCUCGCUGCUUUGCUUGGCCCUUUGUGCCCCAAAAUCGAUUCGUUGAUGCCAAUUGCAAGGGUUAGGAAUGAGUGGAGCUUGAUGGGAUUACUCAAAGUACUGGAGUAUUUGCUCACCCUGGGAUUACUGAAAUUUUGAUUCAUCCAGUUUUGCCUCGUGUUCACACAGUCCUGACGACUCCGAUGCCGCCAGUUGUUGGCUGUAGUUCACAAGCUGUGGCAGGGGAACAGCUACAGAUAAAUAGAUCAAGCUAAUUAGGGGGUGAUUGACAGGACAUCCGUAUAGGUUUGGGAGGUCACAGUGGCAUUGCUGCGGCUUGGGGACUUUGGGGGGGGUGAAAAGGAGGUCCACUGCAGUUCAAACUUUCGCUUCCAUUAACAUCAAAGUACUCGUAUAGACAAAUACUCCCUACUUACAUCCAUCCUUACCGAUGCUGUUUUAACUUCACUCAAGUUAUGCUGCAAGAUAUAACAUAGGUGUCCACCUAAGUGCCCAAGAAGAAAUAACCUGUAGGAUGGUAGCCGAUACUUGGUGGUUCGUGUCAUGUUUUCGUUUUAUGCAACGAUUCAGUAAAAAAAAUAUCCUCGAAUUAUGGCAACCAAAAUUGUAAGUUGUGAGUAAAAUUUUCAAGCCUACAGAGUCAAUUGAUAUCAACUUGGAAUUUACGAGCAUGUGAUAAUCUUCAAGCCAGCUGGUAGUUCGUGUGCUGCUUUUCUUUUUAGGUAGUGGUUCAUAAAAACCAUUGAAUUAACCAAAGUUGCAAGUGCUUGAAUCAAAUCCCAAACCUACAGAAUUAGUUGAGUGCAAUUUGGAAUUUACAAGCACAUAGUAAAAUUGAAAGAUAAAGAAGGUGAUGGGUGUGUUCAGAACUUGAGAAGAUGGACAAAAUUUUAAGCCUUGACAUUUUGGCCAAAAGAGCAGAAAGAGUAAAAGAGGAAGUUUGUUAUACUACUGUCUGUGUUAGCAUUGCUGAUAGUGUGGGACUGAGGGCUAUUCUUUUAUCAUUAUUCUCUUACCGUAGAAACUUGCGGAUGUUGGAAGACCAGAUUUUACAGGAUGAUUGUUGCAUUUCCAGGAGAACCUUCAGAUUUUACGAGAUUUGAGCUAUGAUUUAAUCCGUGGGUGGUAGUUGUAUUGACCUUAUAAAUCUUUGAGAGCAUGUGCGCAGCCGCCAACUGGAUGCUUUCAUAUGAUGAUGUUAGCUCCGAGUAGGUGUCACACAUUCUAGUUAGGCUAUCACCUGAUCUUUUCAGUAAAAUCUUCCAGUCGAAACUUCAUUUGUUUGCCUUGAGUAAAAUCUUCCAAUUCUAGUUAGGCUAUCACCUGAUCUUUUCAGUAAAAUCUUCCAGUCGAUACUUCAUUUGUUUGCCUUGAGUAAAAUCCUCCAAUUGAUACUUCAUUUUGUCUUGAGUAAGCUCCCAGUUCAUACAAUAUUAAAGGAUGAAGAUGAAGAGGAAAGUUGACAAAUAAAGUCUUCCAAUUGAUACUCCAUUCUGCCUUGAGUAAGCUUCCAGUUCAUACAAUAUUAAAGGAUGAAGAUGAAGAGGAAAGUUGACAAAUAAAGUGAAGAACUGAAAUCAGCUAACUGAAAAAUGUAUCAAGUGAGUAAAAUCUUCCAAUUGAUAUCUUGCCUUGAGUAAGCUUCCAGUUCAUACAAUAUUAAAGGAUGAAGAUGAAGAGGAAAGUUGACAAAUUAAGUGAAGAACUGAAAUCAGCAAACUGAAAAAUGUAUCAUGAGAACUGAAACUUGUCAUAAAGAGGGCUUCAGAAAGGUGGAUCCUGACAGGUGGGAAUUUGCAAAUGAGGGAUUCUUGCGAGGGCAGAGGCACCUUCUCAGAAAUAUUAAGCGCCGGAAACCUACACAUGGGUCUCAGAAUCAGCAAUCUCUUGGCUCCUACCUUGAGGUGGGGAACUUUGGACAUGAUGUGGAGAUAGAUCAUUUGAAAAGAGACAGGCAGCUCUUGAUGGCUGAAGUGGUGAAGCUCAGGCAGGAGCAACAGAACACAAGGUCAGAUCUGCAAGCCAUGGAAAAGAGGCUGCAAGGAACUGAGCAGAAGCAACAGCAGAUGAUGUCAUUCUUGGCGCGAGUCAUGCAGAACCCCAUGUUCAUACACCAUCUGCUCUCCCAGAGUGAGAUGCGGAAGGAGCUCGAAGAUGCCAUCUCAAAUAAAAGACGGCGCCGCAUCGACCAGGGACCUGAAGCUGUCGAUAGCAUGGGCACUGGCUCUACCCUGGAGCAAGGGUCACAGGUAAUGUUUGAGCAGCAGGAGCCAGUGGACUCGCUCGUGAACGGUGUCAUAUCCGAUCUUGAAAGCUCGUCCGUCGAUACAAAGGGAGCUGAGGUGCAGCAGAGUGUCGCUUCCAGCCGUUCGGAGCAACUGAGAGGCAGGCCCAGUGGAGAGCUAAAUGAUGAUUUCUGGGAGGACCUGCUGCAUGAAGGGGGGCUCGGCGAGGAGGCCAGCAACCUGGUGGUUCCAGAUGACAUGAACUUGUUGGCUGAGAAGCUGGACUAGCUCGACUCAAAGGACGCGAAUUCCGGACAAUAAUCCAUCGCAUUCUAUUGCCGAGCAGCCCUGAGAAUCCUUACCAGAAUGCCUGUUGUUAUAUAUGUAUAUAUGUCUGCUUCGGCCAUGAUCAGUCAGUCGAGUAGAUCACUGCUGCCUUUGGUGAUGAUGCCACCCUAUUAUCUUAUUGUCGAUCUUAUUUUCGUCAAUGCCGUGUUUAGUUCAACUUCUGGGAGGAUUCUAGUUGGGUUGCUUGCCACUGUCUGCUGUGCAAAGAUUUUAGUCGGAUUGGGCUGUAUGCCUAGUUUUCUGAUAGCUAAUGUCAUCCAUAUGAGAAUAAAUAUGAUAGUACCCAGUAUAUAGCACGUAUAUGUGCAGUGAUUGUAUCUGGAUGAUAUCGAUGUACAGUAGUAUCAUGUUGUGCCUAUGUGUAAUGUGCCUGCUACCAUCUUCUUUUAGGCAACUGUGCUUGUUGCUUCCUUAGGGAGGCUUUGUACUGUAUCCUGUAUUCCUCACUAAGGAAUUGGUAUCUAAAGUUGCUCACAUUAAGAAAGUUUAUCAGAAGUAAAAAGCAUUAAUUCCUGACUUGUAAACCCUGAUGCAUUGCAUUAGAGCUGUAAGUUUAUCACGGAGUAUGUCACAAUUUUCUAUUGUUUUCUCU